AACGAACGCUGGCGGCAGGCCUAACACAUGCAAGUCGAACGCCGUAGCAAUACGGAGUGGCAGACGGGUGAGUAACGCGUGGGAACAUACCCCUCGGUUCGGAAUAACUCAGGGAAACUUGAGCUAAUACCGGAUACGUCCGAGGUUUUAAUCGACCUUGGAGAAAGAUUUAUCGCCGGAGGAUUGGCCCGCGUCUGAUUAGCUUGUUGGUGAGGUAAUGGCUCACCAAGGCGACGANCAGUAGCUGGUCUGAGAGGAUGAUCAGCCACAUUGGGACUGAGACACGGCCCAAACUCCUACGGGAGGCAGCAGUGGGGAAUAUUGGACAAUGGGCGAAAGCCUGAUCCAGCCAUGCCGCGUGAGUGAUGAAGGCCUUAGGGUUGUAAAGCUCUUUGCCCGGGAAGAUAAUGACGGUACCGGGAGAAUAAGCCCCGGCUAACUUCGUGCCAGCAGCCGCCGUAAG
This 463-nucleotide ribosomal RNA is filed under the name uncultured bacterium. Its description in RNAcentral is "bacterial SSU rRNA". It matches the Rfam family "Bacterial small subunit ribosomal RNA", at positions 29 to 524 of the family's 1533-position model. The record is from RNAcentral.